This 3800-nucleotide long non-coding RNA is filed under the name Linum usitatissimum (flax). RNAcentral's name for it is "long non-coding RNA (LUSI_LNC004595)". Lineage: Eukaryota; Viridiplantae; Streptophyta; Magnoliopsida; Malpighiales; Linaceae. The record is from RNAcentral.
AGGGGUGAGUUUAAUUAUGGGGUUUCAUACUUUGACAAGUUGUUGUUUCCCUUGUGCAGUUGGAGCUUGUGUGUUAUCAAUGCACUACUUUCUCCUUCAUUUGAGUCUUCCACUUAGCCCUGCAAAUGCAAUGAAACUCGGGAUCAUUCACCAUUUCCAUCUUAUAUGAAACACAAUAAAGAAUAAAUACAACAUCAACGUUUUAGUUUAUCAUACCUUCUGAUCAGAUACAUGGUUUCUGCCUUUCUGCACUGAUCCUUUAUUCUUCUACCUGAAUGUUCACCCUAGACGCUACACCCUGGCAACUAGUACAUAAAUUACCCUUAACCCCAAUACCUGCCCAGUAAGUUACAAAAGCAGGUCAGCAGUUAGAAGACCAACAAAGUAAGGAGGAAGCACACAGUAGCGAAGAGUAAAAGACCUACAAACUACAACGGAAAAAAUACCAUCAGAAGAAUAGGAAGAAUGACAAGUGGCAGAGGUGAAUUACCAGGGACGAGUUUGAUUUUGGGACUUCCAUAGCUUUGACAAGAUGAUGUUUCCCCUAUGCAGUUGUAGCUUGUGUGUUAUCAAUGCAGGCACCACUAUCAUCUGCAACAUGUCCACAAGUAUUGAAGAGAAGGAUGGGGGAAACAGGAAAGAUAUCAUUGAAAUUCUUGUGAAGCUACUCGCUGAUCAUGGUUCCUUGUUCAUGGAUGAAAGAUCUUUAAGAAUAUCGUUUACCUGACCGAUUUGUUGUGAAAUCUCUUGUUUGAAAAUCUUUCCCAAGUUUGGCGCCUGCAAGAUCCUUAGAAAUUUUUGCAAAUCUUUCGCAAGUUUAGUGUCUCCAUGAUCCUUAUUUUACUGCAUUUAGAACAACGAACAUGAACCAUGGAUACGCAGAUGAAGCAUCCAAACAAUUGUUGAUACCUUGAACUACGAAACUACUUGUUUAUGCUGGCAGAAUUCUCAAGGCCUGAGUUGCAAGAGCAACAAGAACACAUAUACAUGUAAUUAAAUAGCGAGUAAACAAUCUACAUUUAUUGUCCAGAUCAAAGAGCAAAGAUGAAAACAUCAUAUUAGAGAUGGAAUACGAACCUGCACAUUUUUUGUACAUGCUGUCCUUUUCAACCAGUUGUCCAAAAUGUUUUGACCAUAGACUGUAGACAGCACAAAUUACUCCACACCAUUAAGAUCUGCAUGCAAGCACCUCUCGGAUGUGAAUGGAAAUUCAAGAAUACGUCACCUGUAUAAGCAAAGAAGUUAACUUUCAAAUGAAUCUAACUUGCCACUAAUUAGGACUUUCAAGAAACUAUGCUCACACUGGGUAAAAGAAGGAACAUUCAUGAGAUUUUCAGCAUUCAUCGGACAAAGAAUACGUAAGCAAAUAUGUAGUUUGUAAGCUUACACUUAUAAUAGGAAUUUGCCAAACUGUGCUUGCAGACCCGUACUGAAUACUCAGAUUUUAACCACACCAGAGGGCAGCACCAUGUUUGCUACUUUGUCCUUUAUUUGAGACUUCUACUUAGCCCUGCAAAUACAAUCAAAGUCGGGAUCAUCCACCAUUUCCAUCUUAUAUGAAGCACAAUAAAGGAUAAAUACAGUAUUAACAUUCUAGUUUAUCAUACCUUCUGAUCAAAUUCAUGAUUUCUGCCUUUCUGCACUGAUCCUUUAAACCAAUGUCCCGCAAAGAAGUACAAGUGAAAUUCACACAUAUCGUGCUAAUGAAAAUAAACCUUGUCAAUGGAGAAUAUCAUUUCGCUUCCAUUAUCUUACCUUCGUGACACAAGCGGAAGUAGUAAACAAUAAGGGAAUUCUGGUCUGAGUAUUUUUCCCAGACUUGCAUGGAGGGGUGUUCACUCAUUCUCACCUUCUUUGUGCUUGUGUUAGAGUGCACAAACUCAUCACUUCACUUAGGUGAUGAACACCCUAACACUUCUUUUACGCAUCACCCCCUCUUUUUUUCCCUCAAUGAAGGCAUGGUUAUGACCAAACCCACACGGGGCAAACUCGGUAAAAAAAACCUGAAAACAGGUGGAAACCGGGUCGCCGCCGCGUGUGUAAGCCAUAAUCACCUCAUUCUCACCUUCUUUGUGCUUGUGUUAGAGUGCACAAACUCAUCACUUCUCUUAGGUGAUGAACACCUAACACUUCUUUUACGCACCACCCCCUCUCUUUUUUCCUCAAUGAAGGCAUGGUUAUGACCAAACCCACACGGGGCAAACUCGGUAAAAAAAACCUGAAAACAGGUGGAAACCGGGUCGCCGCCGCGUGUGUAAGCCAUAAUCACCUCAUUCUCACCUUCUUUGUGCUUGUGUUAGAGUGCACAAACUCAUCACUUCACUUAGGUGAUGAACACCCUAACACUUCUUUUACGCACCACCCCCUCUCUUUUUUCCUCAAUGAAGGCAUGGUUAUGACCAAACCCACACGGGGCAAACUCGGUAAAAAAAACCUGAAAACAGGUGGAAACCGGGUCGCCGCCGCGUGUGUAAGCCAUAAUCACCUCAUUCUCACCUUCUUUGUGCUUGUGUUAGAGUGCACAAACUCAUCACUUCACUUAGGUGAUGAACACCCUAACACUUCUUUUACGCACCACCCCCUCUCUUUUUUCCUCAAUGAAGGCAUGGUUAUGACCAAACCCACACGGGGCAAACUCGGUAAAAAAAACCUGAAAACAGGUGGAAACCGGGUCGCCGCCGCGUGUGUAAGCCAUAAUCACCUAAACCUUCAAGACUUUUUUGGUGGCACAUGCGUUAGAAUUCCCCAUCUACUAGAACUUCAUAGUGCAUCAAAGGAGUUUAAACGGAAAAAUAAAAUGAUACUACUACUCACACUGACAAGAUCCAAAUCCAUUAGAACGAUAUAUGAGAAUCUCAAAGUACACUUAAGGAAAUAUAAAUGGAGAUUGUCAUGCUAGCAAACAACACAAAACAUCACAGUCUCCAUGAUAACUCAAAGCCGUUUGAACCAGUUUAUGGCAUGAUAACAACACGAUGCAAACAAUAAGAACAAAGAUAACCAAGAAUAAGCAAGAAAGCAGGCCAAAAUGUCAAGUAGCCGAGGCAAAUUACCAAGGAAAUAGGAAGAUAUCAAUGAACUUCCUGUUUAAGGGAAGCUAGCUACGUACUCACAGAUCAUGGUUCGAGAACUGCAAAAACCGUGAAGAUCUCGUUCACCUCACCGAUUUUGAACGCCAGUCGCAGGUUUAGAGUCUGCCAUCUCCUUAAUUUUCUGCAAUUAAAACACCAAACAUGAAUAAUGGAAUCAGAUCUAUGUUCAGUAACCCUAAAAUCUAUGAGAAUCAACAAACAAGACCUAAGAGUUUUAUCGAUGAUCGGACAACGAAAACCCUAAACGAUUGGAAAGUAAAACAAAAAUUGAAAAGAGAGGCAUAGAGAACAGAAAUUUACCCUAACUCAAAGACCUACUUGAGCGACAAAGUGAGAAGAAGUGGAAGAAGGCGUCGGCGACGAAGACGACGAAGAAGUUCUGAACUGCUUGAUGUGUGGGAUCGUUUAUAUAGAAACCCAUAGAAAAUAAUUGUAGCCGUUGGAAGGUGAGGCAACGACCUCUUUGUAGGAGAAAAGUAGCCGUUGGAACGGUGAGGCACUGACGCGCUUUCGUUUUACGGUUGAGGCCCCGACGCAUCUUCGUUCGAUGGUGCGGCAGUUACGCGGCGGAUGAUUAAAUGCAGGGACAUCUGGCGCCAGCUGGAGAAAGGUAACCCUGCCAAUUCAUCAUUUUCGCGACAGCUGGAAAUAAAGCCCAAUACAUCGGCGUUUCUGUCAUCGCUUUCUGCUUGUUGACUCUCACUCACU